GACGAACGCUGGCGGCGCGCCUAACACAUGCAAGUCGAACGGAGUCAAGAGGAGCUUGCUUUUCUUGACUUAGUGGCGAACGGGUGAGUAACGCGUGAGUAACCUGCCCUGGAGUGGGGGACAACAGUUGGAAACGACUGCUAAUACCGCAUAAGCCCACGGAUCCGCAUGGAUCUGCGGGAAAAGGAUUUAUUCGCUUCAGGAUGGACUCGCGUCCAAUUAGCUAGUUGGUGAGGUAACGGCCCACCAAGGCGACGAUUGGUAGCCGGACUGAGAGGUUGAACGGCCACAUUGGGACUGAGACACGGCCCAGACUCCUACGGGAGGCAGCAGUGGGGGAUAUUGCACAAUGGGGGAAACCCUGAUGCAGCGACGCCGCGUGGAGGAAGAAGGUUUUCGGAUUGUAAACUCCUGUCGUAAGGGACGAUAAUGACGGUACCUAACAAGAAAGCACCGGCUAACUACGUG
This 468-nucleotide ribosomal RNA is filed under the name uncultured bacterium. RNAcentral's name for it is "partial 16S ribosomal RNA". It matches the Rfam family "Bacterial small subunit ribosomal RNA", at positions 28 to 507 of the family's 1533-position model. The record is from RNAcentral.